AUGAUGGAGGACAAUGAAGUUGAUAGGCUCAGCAAGCUUCCUGAUGACGUUUGGCUCAACAUUGUCGAGCGACUUGAUAUCACUGAUGUCGCACGAACCACCAUCCUCUCCAGGCGUUGGAGGCAGAUCCCUGCUAUGCUCUCAAAAAUUAUCAUAACCGCCGGUUCUUUUCAGCCUACACAUGAAAGAAGGAAGUUAACCUCGGAUGAUAUAGUUCGGGCCAAUACCACCGUGCUGGAAGCAAUCAGAAGCAUACUGGAAAGGAGGGCUGGAAGUCCAUACACCAUUCACCUGUUGUGUAUGCAAUUCUACUUGGGAGAUGAGUCCAUUUUCAUUGGCCAGACUGUUGCCAACACCAAGGUUGCUUCAGUUGAGUUUACAAUCAUGACCAAGGUGCGCAAAAAGAUUACCAAUAAUGGGCUGCUCAAUUAUGGGAGGCAGUUCAUGUCAUUUUUUGAUUCGUGCCCAAACACAUUUGGUGGCCUUGCACGCCUCACGCUAGAGAAUUUGAGGUUAGGCGAAUCAGACUUCCCCAAAAUUUUCAGUGUAUGCAAGCAACUGGAGUUACUCCGCCUCUACCACUGUGAUAUGGGCAUCGACUCUUUGUUGGAAGUGGAACACCCACAACUCAGUGAACUAGUGAUUGCCUGUAGCAGGCUUAUUAAGAGGGAUGAUCUGAAGUGGUUACCGAAACUCACAGUACUGAAAUUUAAUGUAUUUAGAUCUCAAGAUGACCCCUUCUGUCUUGGCUAUGUCCCACUGCUCCAGACUGUGACCAUCAUUAAUACUGGUUUUGCUUGGCACAAGAUGCUCAAGUUUAGUGAGUUGCUGGGUAAAACCGGCAUAAGCAACCUGCAUUUGGACUUCAGAAGCGAAAAGAUUUGGGUCAAACCGGAAGGUCGAAGACAAUUGUUACCGGUGUUCCACAAACUAACGCUUGUGAAUUUGCUUAACAUUUCUGAAGAAUGUGAUUUGACUUGGAUAAUGUUCAUACUCCAAGGUGCACCCACCCUUAAGGAACUAAGCAUCUUGGUCCGGGAUCAUUUAUGUGAAAUGAUAACAGGGGAGCAGAGGAAAAAGUUUAUGUUUAGCGAGGAGAAGGACAAUGGACUAGAGUGA
Molecule: ribosomal RNA, 1119 nt
Filed under: Triticum aestivum (bread wheat)
Lineage: Eukaryota; Viridiplantae; Streptophyta; Magnoliopsida; Poales; Poaceae
Description: partial small subunit ribosomal RNA
Source: RNAcentral